CCGCGGUAAUACUCCUACGGGAGGCAGCAGUGAGGAAUAUUGGUCAAUGGGCGAGAGCCUGAACCAGCCAAGUAGCGUGAAGGAUGAAGGUCCUAUGGAUUGUAAACUUCUUUUAUAGUAGAAUAAAGUGACCUACGUGUAGGUUUUUGUAUGUAUACUAUGAAUAAGGAUCGGCUAACUCCGUGCCAGCAGCCGCGGUAAUAU
RNAcentral lists this ribosomal RNA (204 nucleotides) under uncultured Bacteroides sp. Its description in RNAcentral is "partial 16S ribosomal RNA". It matches the Rfam family "Bacterial small subunit ribosomal RNA", at positions 325 to 526 of the family's 1533-position model. The record is from RNAcentral. Lineage: Bacteria; Pseudomonadati; Bacteroidota; Bacteroidia; Bacteroidales; Bacteroidaceae.